AAAACAGGCUGUGUAAAAAGUCCAGCUAUAGAUGAUCGCUGUCGACUUAAUUUCGAAAAAGAUACACUUUUGUCUUUCAUUGUGCCCUGCACCCAGUAGGUGCCCAGUGAUUUAUGUAAUUAUCCGAGAGUCAAUUGCAGGGGAUUGAGUAGAAUGUUGAUUGAGGAAAAAAUAGAGUUUGGGAAAGCCCUGAUGUGUGACACCUUCAUUUCCGUAUGAAUUCUGUGUUGAGCGCUUCUUGGAUGCUUGGGAAGGUGCUUGGACCUCAAGGGCAAGUGGAAGUGAG
Molecule: long non-coding RNA, 286 nt
Filed under: Homo sapiens (human)
Lineage: Eukaryota; Metazoa; Chordata; Mammalia; Primates; Hominidae
Description: HSALNT0169329
Source: RNAcentral